AACGGUUCCCAUAACCGGGAUUAAAAGGGAACGCCGUGAAAAUCGGCGACAGUUCCCGCUGCUGUGAACCCCGUCCGCUGCAGAGCGGUCGCAGCUUUCAAGAAACGUCACUGUCGUUUUACCAAAAGACGAUGGGAAGGCUUUGGAAGUGGGGUGAGUCAGAAGACCUGCCUUUGCGA
RNAcentral lists this non-coding RNA (179 nucleotides) under human gut metagenome. The record is from RNAcentral. RNAcentral also lists the same sequence under 1 other name.